GGACAAUCGCGCGGUAUUGCGCCGUAAGGUAUUAUCGUGAGGAAAGUCCGGGCUUCACAGGGCAGGAUAACGGAUAACGUCCGCCGAAGGUGACUUCCGGGAAAGUGCAACAGAAAUAAACCGCCGCGCAAGCGGUAAGGAUGGAAAGGCGAGGUAAGAGCUCACCGGCAUAUUGGUAACAAUAUUGCAAAUGUAAACCCUAUCCGAAGCAAAACCCCGAAACAUAAUGUCUGCCCGGCAGCGCUUUGCGAUGUUUGGGGUUGCACAGAGUUUUGCGGCAACGCAAAAACAAGAUAGAUGAUUGUCGAUCACAGAACCCGGCUUACAGUUCCGGUCC
RNAcentral lists this RNase P RNA (337 nucleotides) under bovine gut metagenome. Its description in RNAcentral is "Bacterial RNase P class A". It matches the Rfam family "Bacterial RNase P class A". From Rfam's summary of the family: Ribonuclease P (RNase P) is a ubiquitous endoribonuclease, found in archaea, bacteria and eukarya as well as chloroplasts and mitochondria. Its best characterised activity is the generation of mature 5'-ends of tRNAs by cleaving the 5'-leader elements of precursor-tRNAs. The record is from RNAcentral.